CUUGCUUUUCCUUUGUCUUCAGCCUCGGUCAGGUUCAGGGUGCGAUUUUGUUGGGGUCCUUGGCGUGGUGGACACGUGCGGUGCCGUUGUUGCCGGUGAUACCACGUGGGCGGAUUUUGUGAGUUGGCUGCUAGGACCCCAACAUCUAUAAUAAAGAACUGCUCAACCUCUUCGAAUCAGCAUCGGGAUUCUUCCCUCUGGCCGAGCAAAAUUUCUCAUCCCCGGCUGACAUCGUGAUGGAGAUGGUGUCGUGGACCUUGGACAUCUGAACUCGAGAGACUGGAGGUUGAUCUUCCAGGGAAUUUCUGCGAGGCCACGUGUCACGGAGACCACUGUUAACUUCCACCCACGUGUCAAAAACAAUUCGAACCCUCAGUGUAGUUUAAAUUUAUAUUAGAUUAAUCAAAAAUGUAUUUCGGUCCACAGUGUAGAUUGAAAAUAAUUUCGGGUUGUGUUAAACUCGUUCGUUUAGUCCAUAAACAGAAGAUAAAGUUGUUUGUUCAUUUAAAUUUGUAUGAAGCUUAAAAUUGUGUUUCGUUGUAUUAAAUUACUUUCUACAUU
RNAcentral lists this unclassified non-coding RNA (561 nucleotides) under Melitaea cinxia (Glanville fritillary). Its description in RNAcentral is "misc RNA ENSMCXG00005014296.1". Lineage: Eukaryota; Metazoa; Arthropoda; Insecta; Lepidoptera; Nymphalidae. The record is from RNAcentral.